GUCUUUAAGAAUUUAAUUUAAAGUCAAAUCUGCCCAAUGAAUUUUAUUUUAAUGGCUGCAGAAUAUUAACUGUACAAAGGUAGCAUAAUAAUUUGUUUUUUAAUUAAAAACUAGAAUGAAAGAUUUAAUGAAAUAUAAACUGUUUCAACUAAUAAUUUAUUAAAUUUUUUAUUUGAGUAAAAAAACUUAAAUAAAAUUUUAAGACGACAAGACCCUAUAGAAUUUUAUUUAUUUAAUUUUAAUAAAAAUUAAAUAAAUUUUAUUGGGGUAAUAUAAAAAUUUAAAAAAUUUUUUUUUAAAAAAACAAAUUAAAUGAAAUAACUAAUUAAUCUUAAUUUUUAAAUUAAAAAAAUUAAUUACCUUAGGGAUAACAGCAUAAUUUUUUUUAAAAGAUCAUAUUUAUAAAAAAGAUUAU
RNAcentral lists this ribosomal RNA (415 nucleotides) under Campyloneurus sp. RNAcentral describes it as "partial 16S ribosomal RNA". Lineage: Eukaryota; Metazoa; Arthropoda; Insecta; Hymenoptera; Braconidae. The record is from RNAcentral.